This 385-nucleotide ribosomal RNA is filed under the name Omanosaura cyanura. Its description in RNAcentral is "partial 16S ribosomal RNA". It matches the Rfam family "Bacterial large subunit ribosomal RNA", at positions 1986 to 2570 of the family's 2925-position model. The record is from RNAcentral. Lineage: Eukaryota; Metazoa; Chordata; Lepidosauria; Squamata; Lacertidae.
ACUAGCAUGAACGGCUAAAUGAGGACUAUACUGUCUCUUAUAAUAAACCAAUGAAACUGAUCUUUCAGUCCAAAAGCUGAAAUAUCCCCAUAAGACGAGAAGACCCUGUGGAGCUUUAAACUAAAAGCAACACACCAUGCUAACUUAGUUUUUAGUUGGGGCGACUUCGGAGUACAAAAAAACCUCCGACAUAGAACACCAAAUCAAGACUAACAAGUCAAAAUACUACUUGACCCAGUAGAUCUAGCCUUAUAGACUAUCUGACUAAUGAACCAAGUUACCCCAGGGAUAACAGCGCUAUCCUCUUCUAGAGUUCAUAUCAACAAGAGGGUUUACGACCUCGAUGUUGGAUCAGGACACCCAAAUGGUGCAGCCGCUAUUAAAG